GCAAAGGCAUAAGGGAGCUUGACUGCGAGACCUACAAGUCGAGCAGGGACGAAAGUCGGGCUUAGUGAUCCGGUGGUUCCGCAUGGAAGGGCCAUCGCUCAACGGAUAAAAGCUACCCCGGGGAUAACAGGCUUAUCUCCCCCAAGAGUCCACAUCGACGGGGAGGUUUGGCACCUCGAUGUCGGCUCAUCGCAUCCUGGGGCUGUAGUCGGUCCCAAGGGUUGGGCUGUUCGCCCAUUAAAGCGGUACGCGAGCUGGGUUCAGAACGUCGUGAGACAGUUCGGUCCCUAUCCGUCGUGGGCGUAGGAAAUUUGAGAGGAGCUGUCCUUAGUACGAGAGGACCGGGAUGGACGCACCGCUGGUGUACCAGUUGUUCUGCCAAGGGCAUAGCUGGGUAGCUAUGUGCGGAAGGGAUAAGUGCUGAAAGCAUCUAAGCAUGAAGCCCCCCUCAAGAUGAGAUUUCCCAUAGCGUAAGCUAGUAAGAUCC
Molecule: ribosomal RNA, 487 nt
Filed under: Bacillus cereus
Lineage: Bacteria; Bacillati; Bacillota; Bacilli; Caryophanales; Bacillaceae
Description: bacterial LSU rRNA
Rfam family: Bacterial large subunit ribosomal RNA
Source: RNAcentral